CGGAGCGCCGGAGGACCAAGGGGAGGGCGAGGCGAAGGGCCGGAGAGGACACGCCCCCGGCCCGGCCUCUCCUGACUCCCGCCUGGCCGGACUCCGGCAGUCCGGCUUCGGUCUCGUACAGAGCGGCGCCAUGGAGCAGCGGGUGCUACGGGUCCGGGCGGCCUUCCAGACGGGCCGCUCGCGGCCACUGACCUUCCGCCUGCAGCAGCUGCGGGCCCUGCAGAGGAUGGUGCAGGAGUGCCAGAAGGAGAUCCUGGCGGCGCUGGCCGAGGACCUGCACAAGAGUGAAUUCAACGCAUAUAGCCAAGAAGUUGUUAAUGUCCUUGGGGAACUUGACCAUGUAAUAGAGAAACUUCCUGAGUGGGUUGCUCCAGAGCCAGCUAAGAAAACUCUCCUGACGCUGAUGGAUGAGGCUUAUAUCCACUCAGAGCCCCUUGGAGUGGUCUUGAUUAUUGGGGCUUGGAACUACCCAUUUGUCCUAAAUAUCCAGCCAUUAAUAGGAGCCAUUGCAGCAGGAAAUGCAGUCAUAGUAAAGCCAUCAGAACUAAGUGAAAAGACAGCCAUGCUCUUGGCCAAGAUCAUCCCUCAGUAUUUGGAUAAGGAGCUAUACUGUGUAAUUAAUGGGGGCAUUGCGGAGACCACGGAACUGCUGAAGCAGAGAUUUGACCAUAUUCUCUACACUGGAAGCACUGGCGUUGGGAAGAUUGUCAUGGAAGCCGCUGCCAAGCAUUUGACCCCUGUGACUCUGGAGCUCGGAGGGAAGAGUCCAUGUUACAUUGAUAAAGACUGUAAUCUUGAUGUGGCUUGCAGACGUAUCACCUGGGGGAAAUAUAUGAACUGUGGUCAGACCUGCAUUGCUCCAGACUACAUCCUUUGUGAACCAUCUCUCCAGAGUCAGAUUGUGGAAAAGAUAAAGGAAACUGUGAAGGAAUUCUAUGGUGAAGAAAUAAAACAGUCUCCUGAUUAUGAAAGGAUCAUCAACCAUCGUCAUUUUAAAAGGGUGACAAAUUUACUUGAAGGACAAAAGAUAGCUUUUGGAGGGGAGACGGAUGAGGCUACACGAUUCAUAGCCCCGACUGUCCUUACUGAUGUGAACCCCAACUCCAAGGUGAUGCAAGAAGAGAUUUUUGGUCCUGUGCUUCCAAUAAUGCCUGUGAAAAAUGCAGAUGAAGCAAUACAGUUCAUAAACCAGAGAGAGAAACCCCUGGCCCUGUACGUGUUUUCUAAUAAUAAUAAGCUGAUUAAAAGGAUGAUAGAGGAAACCUCCAGUGGUGGGGUUACUGGCAAUGAUGUCAUCAUGCAUUUCACUCUCAACUCUUUGCCCUUUGGAGGAGUUGGUAAUAGUGGGAUGGGUGCAUACCAUGGAAAACACAGUUUUGACACCUUCUCCCAUCACCGAUCAUGCCUAAUAAAGAGUUUAAGGAUGGAGGGCGCCAAUAAGCUCCGCUACCCACCGAAUAGCCAGUCCAAGGUAGACUGGGCAAACUUCUUCCUCCUGAAACGCUUCAACAAAGGCAAGAUUGGGAUCUUCUUACUGGCUUUCCUGGGUAUCCUCGUAGCCGUAACUAUGAAAACUUCAUUGGUCCAAUAAACAGUGAGGAUCAGCGGAUUGCCAAAGGCAGCACUGUCUGUGAAAGCGAGCUUCAAUCCUUCUAAAGAUGGCUCAGGUUCAACUUGCAAGUUGUCUUUAUUGGAUUUCUGCUCUUGUUAACUGAUUAUGAACAAAUUGAUUCUUGUUAAAAAUAGUAAUAUAAAAGUGCAAAGAUUAACCUUAAAGCAGACUGCUAUUUACUCUUCUAAAAUUAACCUGCCAUUUCAAUCACAUCUCCAAACUCUUCUAGCACCAGAGCCCGUGAGGAGAAUGUUCCAGACUGAGAUUGUUAUAGAUUGAGAUUGUGAAAGAAUUGAGGAGAAAGGGAUGCUCUAGACUCUGGUUCCCAGCUUCAUUCCCCUUCAACCUCGAAACCAUUCCCAGGCUCUUUUGGAACAUAGGAGGGGGCAGGAUGGAGACAGGGCUUUUGAAAGAGUUCCUGGGUCACUGAGAGUCCUUCAUGGCCCUCUAGUAUGGGCAAGGAAGCUGGUCUUUCUCAGUACAGCUCAAAGGAGAAAUAGUCUUAGAUCCAUGCUUUCUGACUCCAUGUGACGCCAAGUCAGAGGAGGGGCAGAAUCCCCCCAUUUGCCACACUCAGGUUUUGAGGGGCUGAGAAAGGUAGCCAUUAGAGGGGUGCAGUGGGGUGCAGGAAGCUGUUAGACUUGGCCAUAAUUAAAGAAUCUGGUCACUGUCCUGUUGGUGAACACUGGUUUCCUUUAUAAAGAAACAAGUAGGUUUAUUUCAUAAUCAAGGUCUUCACGGAGGACAGUUGUUCAUGGUUGUCUCUCAUCAUGUUUUGUGUUUCACUUGGGAGCAGGCUGUACCGUAGCUAACUCCAGGCCUGUGGCAGCUCAAUUCAUAUGCCUUCCUUGAGGCUGCCAGCUCCUAGGGAGGGACCACUGCCAUCAGCUGAGGGCAGUUUUUACAGUCCUGUCAUUUUGGAGUCCUCAGUUGAGCUUUUUAUGCUAUUAAAAAAGCCUCCUUCCCCCAAAAAAAAUUAAAAAAAAAAAAAAACCCUUUCACUCAGAUUCAGAUCCUCAAAGCUGGUAUUUGUGAACAGAGGUUUGUUUGCCACAAGGACAAACUGAGACAAAUUUAGUCUCUAUUUUCAAAUUAUGUAUGCCAAAAUGCAAGCGACUUGUGCUUUAUAAGAUAUCUUAAAGCCAAAUUUCCCUCUUUCCAAGUAAGUUUCAAAUGUAGAUUUUGUAAUUUGAGUAAAGUCGGGCCCCAAAUCUUUUUACUGAAAUGGAUGCCUUAAACAGAAGGAAUGUUCAAGCUAAAGAGCACUGUGUAGUGCGUAACGGCCCCAGGCAGAGAUGUGUUUGUGUUGUAGUGUCCCCACCGUACUUUGCACUAUCGAUUACCAGCCCAAUCAAAAUGGGGAAGAGAGUUUCAGCAGCCAGGAGGUGACAUCUGACCCCGCCAGGUAUGAGGGAAGGUGUGUGUGGCCAGGAGAUGGAAAGGAGAUCUAGGGGUCAACAAGAGUAGCAGGGAGAAAAAAAAAAGAAUCACUAGACUGAUUAUACCUACCAAUGUGCCAGGGGGUCUGGGCACGCAGUGGUCCCGAGACUGCCCACGUUCCAACUUAUGCAGGUGGGAUCUGGUAACUCGGGAUCCCACGGCACCAGUUACUAGGCCCUUUAUAUGCUUAAAAAAUUUCAACUGAAUGGAUUGAAUGUUUCUCCAUCGAAUACGUCUUCAGAUUUCAGAUAUUAAAUCACUAGUGGUCUCAGGGAAGAAAUGAAAUUUUCUUUAGAGGCUUACUGAAUCUAUUCAGGUGUAGAUAUAAUCUACUGGUAAAUCUUCGUGUACAAGCCAUCGUUAGCUUACUUUUAACUGUGGAAUUGGUUAAAUGGAGACUUUUAGUCCAUUACCUUACAAGGUUGGACAUGGAUUUUAAAACUUGUUUUGACUUAGCAUAUCAAAAUUAUGUAUCACAUUUGCCUUUUUUGGUAACAUUAAAAGAUGCCUGGUUACUAAUUAAAAAUCUUUAUUAUGAUUAAUAAAAUUGAGCUGAGUUUUAAA
Antechinus flavipes (yellow-footed antechinus) is the source of this 3616-nucleotide RNA transcript. It is a transcript of the gene named aldehyde dehydrogenase 3 family member A2, with no coding region annotated. The record is from RefSeq and is a predicted model, not a curated record. NCBI's taxonomy places the organism in Eukaryota, Metazoa, Chordata, Mammalia, Dasyuromorphia, Dasyuridae. The transcript has 11 exons.